GGGGGGACGGAGAAGGCUAGGUGGGCCUGGCGACGGUUGUCCAGGUUCAAGUGCGUAGGCUUAAGAGUUAGGUAAAUCCGGCUCUUUUUAAGGCUGAGACACGACGUCGAGCACCUACGGGUGUGAAGUCAUUGAUGCCAUGCUUCCAGGAAAAGCCUCUAAGCUUCAGAUUGUAAGGAAUCGUACCCCAAACCGACACAGGUGGUCGGGUAGAGAAUACCAAGGCGCUUGAGAGAACUCGGGUGAAGGAACUAGGCAAAAUGGUACCGUAACUUCGGGAGAAGGUACGCUCUCGACGGUGAAGUCCCUCGCGGAUGGAGCUAUUGAGAGUCGCAGAUACCAGGUGGCUGCAACUGUUUAUUAAAAACACAGCACUGUGCAAAAUCGUAAGAUGACGUAUACGGUGUGACGCCUGCCCGGUGCCGGAAGGUUAAUUGAUGGGGUUAGACUUC
Molecule: ribosomal RNA, 452 nt
Filed under: Vibrio parahaemolyticus
Lineage: Bacteria; Pseudomonadati; Pseudomonadota; Gammaproteobacteria; Vibrionales; Vibrionaceae
Description: partial 23S ribosomal RNA
Rfam family: Bacterial large subunit ribosomal RNA
Source: RNAcentral